RNAcentral lists this ribosomal RNA (544 nucleotides) under Funisciurus pyrropus (fire-footed rope squirrel). RNAcentral describes it as "partial 16S ribosomal RNA". It matches the Rfam family "Bacterial large subunit ribosomal RNA", at positions 1818 to 2595 of the family's 2925-position model. The record is from RNAcentral. Lineage: Eukaryota; Metazoa; Chordata; Mammalia; Rodentia; Sciuridae.
CACUCCAGCAUAAACAGUAUUGGAGGCACUGCCUGCCCAGUGACGCACACGCUUAAACGGCCGCGGUAUCCUGACCGUGCAAAGGUAGCAUAAUCACUUGUUCCCUAAAUAGGGACUAGUAUGAACGGCUUGACGAGGGUUCAACUGUCUCUUACUUUUAAUCAGUGAAAUUGACCUCCCCGUGAAGAGGCUGGACUGCACAAAUAAGACGAGAAGACCCUAUGGAGCUUAAAUUACAUAGUCUGCCCAUAAAAAUAUAAACCCACAGGCACAGCCCAAUGUUUACAGACUAUCAAUUUUGGUUGGGGUGACCUCGGAGCACAAAACAACCUCCGAAUGAUAUUAACCAAGACAUACAUGUCAAAGUUCAUACUCAUAAAUUGACCCAAACUAACUGACCAACGGAACAAGUUACCCUAGGGAUAACAGCGCAAUCCUACUCAAGAGUCCAUAUCGACAGUUAGGGUUUACGACCUCGAUGUUGGAUCAGGACAUCCAAAUGGUGUAGCCGCUAUUAAAGGUUCGUUUGUUCAACGAUUAAAUC